Molecule: long non-coding RNA, 577 nt
Filed under: Dasypus novemcinctus (nine-banded armadillo)
Lineage: Eukaryota; Metazoa; Chordata; Mammalia; Cingulata; Dasypodidae
Description: lncRNA (ENSDNOG00000050771.1)
Source: RNAcentral
CGUGGUCACGUGGCCGCCGCCGCCGCCGCCGCCCGCCCUGCUCUCUUUCGGGUCGGGCCAGGCCGGCUCCGCGAGCGCCCGGCGGAGGCUGUGGGAGAGAGAGAGGAGGGGAGGAGGAGGAGGAUUCAGGGAAGGGGCGCUGGGGAGCCCUUCUGCGCCACAGAUGACUUGGCCUGCAGUGACUCCAAAUCCUACAAUCCUUCCAAUUUUCUCCGUUCUACUAAGUGUAUGCUGUUUAUCCAGCACACUCAAUUAAAGGAGAACUCAGCCAGACUCUCUUUCUUGAUUCCUCUUCACUUCCUAUUUGCCAGCAAAGAUGUAUAUUUAAUGAAUUUUGUUGUACUGAGCCUGAAAUUAUCUUUGACCCAAAACAAGAACAUGCAUUUUCAAGUGUCAACUAGAUUUUUGGGUCAGUAAAGUUCUCCUGAAAGGUAAGCAUAUAUUUAUUCAAAAUGCACAUUUCAGUAUUGAGUCUACUUAAUACUCUUACCGUAGCUGUGUGUUCUAUAGACUUAAUAAAAAAAAAAAAGUACAUGCAUACGCACCUGUCGCUUCUGCCAAGUUUAGAUUGAACGCU